AUGGAGGAAGAGGGCGCCCCGGCGCUGCGCGUGAUCCGGAGCUCCAUCGACGCGCUGGGGCGAGGGUUCGAUGCCACCCACGACACCAGGCUGCUCUACUGCAAGGGGUCUCGCCUCGUCGGCGUCGACGACGGCGAGCUGAGCUCCAGGGAUCUGGUCAUGCCUGACGGGCUCACUGUCCCCGGUGUGCCCAAGGAUGUUGACUGCUCCGGUGAGAGUGGGGUUGGUGUACCGGAGACCGCUGGCCCGUGCGCCUUCCACGAGAUGGCUGGGUAUUUCAAUAAAAAAGCCCAGCUUGCAGGAGAUAUACCUCUUGGAAGCUUUAAUUCAGCAUAUAGCUUUACUGGAUCCAAGAGAUUUGAUGCCAUGGCUACCAAAAGUCUCGGGAUGGAGGGCAAGACCAUUCCUUUAUAUAAGGUCCAACUUGUGCGACAGCCUUUGUCAGUGGUAGAGGAAGUUAAGCAUGCAGUGCCUCACUCAUGGGAACCAUCAUCUCUCGCAAGGUUCAUUCAGAAUUAUGGAACGCAUGUCAUAACAUCCAUUACCAUUGGCGGGAAGGAUUUGAUUUACAUCAAGCAGCAUCCGUCAUCAUCACUUUCCGUGGUGGAAAUUAAAAAUUAUAUACACGAUCUUGGACAUCAGAGGUUUACUGAAAAUGAAAUCCAUACAGGCUCAGGCCCUAUAAGAUCAAUGAAUAAGGAAAGAGAAAAUCUUGGGUUCAACAGCCAAGGAGUAUAUCCACAACCUCCAAGCACACCAUAUAUUGCAGCAAAAGAGGAUGUCACUGUGAUUUUCAGAAGGAGAGGAGGAGAUGAUUUAGUUCAAAGUCAUUCUGAGUGGGCAAGAACUGUUAACUCAGCGCCUGAUGUUAUACAUAUGACCCUUUUCCCUCUAACGACUCUGUUGGAAGCAGCCAUCCCUGGAAAAGACCAUCUCAUCCGGGCGAUCAACCUUUAUCUAGAAUAUAAACCUCCAAUUGAGGAGCUGCGUUACUUCCUAGAGUUCCAGCUUCCCAGAGUUUGGGCACCAAUUCGUGAUGAGCACCCUCUCCAUCAAAGGAAAGAGCCUGUGUGCCCAUCCUUGCAGUUCAGCUUGAUGGGGAAAAAGCUGUACAUCAGCCAAGAACAGGUGUCAGUGGGUCGCAAGCCAAUAACUGGCCUAAGGUUAUGCUUGGAAGGUGCUAAGCAGGACAGGCUAUGCAUCCAACUGCAGCAUCUAGCAUCUCUUCCAAAGAUCCUCAAGCCUUACUGGGAUGCACACAUCACGAUUGGUGCAGCGAAAUGGCAGGGGCCGGAGGAGCAGGACAGCCGCUGGUUCGAGCCUGUGAAGUGGAAUAGCUUCUCCCACGUCAGCACAGCUCCAGUUGAGCACCACGAGGUGCUCAUCGGGGAUGCCUCCGGCGUGUACAUUGUCACUGGGGCACAGCUCGGGGUGUGGGACUUUGGUUUGAAGAACGUCCUGUACAUGAAGCUUCUCUACUCGAGGGUCCCCGGUUGCACCACCCGGAGAUCGCUGUGGGAUCACAGCCCUGCCGCCGCCAGCAGCCAUCCAACAGUUGGUCCUUCUAACAUCAUGUAUCUGGACCCGGGGGGUUCUGGCGUAGGCUCGAGCGAUGCAGGGAAGUUCGUGAAGAUCGUGGACAGGUCGGAGCUGUGCAAAGGCCCUGACGACAUGCCGGGGCACUGGCUGGUGACGGGCGGGAAGCUUGGUGUUGAAAAGGGGAGGAUUGUUCUGAGAGUGAAGUAUUCCUUGUUGAAUUACUGA
This 1764-nucleotide ribosomal RNA is filed under the name Triticum aestivum (bread wheat). RNAcentral describes it as "partial small subunit ribosomal RNA". Lineage: Eukaryota; Viridiplantae; Streptophyta; Magnoliopsida; Poales; Poaceae. The record is from RNAcentral.